Molecule: transfer RNA, 85 nt
Filed under: Microbispora cellulosiformans
Lineage: Bacteria; Bacillati; Actinomycetota; Actinomycetes; Streptosporangiales; Streptosporangiaceae
Description: Microbispora sp. Gxj-6 tRNA-OTHER
Source: RNAcentral
GGGCGGGUAUAGGCGCUGGUCCCGCCCGUUCCCGGGCUGACCUACCAGCGAGGGGCCACUGGUUCGAACCCAGUACCGCCCACCA